This 99-nucleotide ribosomal RNA is filed under the name uncultured bacterium. RNAcentral describes it as "partial 16S ribosomal RNA". It matches the Rfam family "Bacterial small subunit ribosomal RNA", at positions 1384 to 1482 of the family's 1533-position model. The record is from RNAcentral.
UACACACCGCCCGUCAAGCCAUGGGAGUCGGGAGGACCUGAAGUGCCUGAGCCAACCGCAAGGAGGCAGGGCCCCAAGGAGUGAUCGGUAACUGGGGUG